RNAcentral lists this ribosomal RNA (253 nucleotides) under uncultured bacterium. RNAcentral describes it as "partial 16S ribosomal RNA". It matches the Rfam family "Bacterial small subunit ribosomal RNA", at positions 524 to 776 of the family's 1533-position model. The record is from RNAcentral.
UACGUAGGGGGCAAGCGUUGUCCGGAAUCAUUGGGCGUAAAGAGCGUGUAGGCGGCUUGGUAAGUCCGCCGUGAAAGUCCAGGGCUCAACCCUGGAAAGCCGGUGGAAACUGUCAAGCUCGAGUCCGGAAGAGGCGAGUGGAAUUCCUGGUGUAGCGGUGAAAUGCGCAGAUAUCAGGAGGAACACCAAUGGCGAAGGCAGCUCGCUGGGACGGUACUGACGCUGAGACGCGAAAGCGUGGGGAGCGAACAGG